GCUCGUGUAGCUCAGUCGGUUAGAGCGCUAUCCUCACACGAUAGAGGUCCCUGGUUCAAAUCCAGGCACGAGCACCA
Molecule: transfer RNA, 77 nt
Filed under: Patescibacteria group bacterium
Lineage: Bacteria
Description: tRNA-Val
Rfam family: tRNA
About the family: Transfer RNA (tRNA) molecules are approximately 80 nucleotides in length. Their secondary structure includes four short double-helical elements and three loops (D, anti-codon, and T loops).
Source: RNAcentral